RNAcentral lists this ribosomal RNA (253 nucleotides) under uncultured bacterium. Its description in RNAcentral is "partial 16S ribosomal RNA". It matches the Rfam family "Bacterial small subunit ribosomal RNA", at positions 524 to 776 of the family's 1533-position model. The record is from RNAcentral.
UACAGAGGUGGCAAGCGUUGUUCGGAAUUACUGGGCGUAAAGGGCGCGUAGGCGGUUCGUUAAGUCCUGUGCGAAAUCCCCCAGCUCAACUGGGGAACUGCACAGGAAACUAGCGGGCUUGAGUUCGGGAGAGGGAAGCGGAAUUCCGGGUGUAGCGGUGAAAUGCGUAGAUAUCCGGAGGAGCACCGGUGGCGAAGGCGGCUUCCUGGACCGACACUGACGCUGAGGCGCGAAAGCUAGGGGAGCAAACGGG